UACGUAGGUGGCAAGCGUUGUCCGGAUUUAUUGGGUUUAAAGGGUGCGUAGGCGGCCCUGUAAGUCAGUGCUGAAAUAUCCCAGCUUAACUGGGAGGGUGGUAUUGAUACUGCGGGGCUAGAGUACAGAUGAGGUAGGCGGAAUUGACGGUGUAGCGGUGAAAUGCUUAGAUAUCGUCAAGAACACCUAUAGCGAAGGCAGCUUACUAGGCUGUAACUGACGCUGAGGCACGAAAGUGUGGGGAUCAAACAGG
Molecule: ribosomal RNA, 253 nt
Filed under: uncultured bacterium
Lineage: Bacteria
Description: partial 16S ribosomal RNA
Rfam family: Bacterial small subunit ribosomal RNA
Source: RNAcentral